Molecule: transfer RNA, 83 nt
Filed under: Lachnospiraceae bacterium
Lineage: Bacteria; Bacillati; Bacillota; Clostridia; Lachnospirales; Lachnospiraceae
Also listed under: 3 other names
Description: tRNA-Leu
Rfam family: tRNA
About the family: Transfer RNA (tRNA) molecules are approximately 80 nucleotides in length. Their secondary structure includes four short double-helical elements and three loops (D, anti-codon, and T loops).
Source: RNAcentral
GCGGAUGUGGUGAAAUUGGCAGACACGCUGGAUUUAGGUUCCAGUACGAAAGUGUGCAGGUUCAAGUCCUGUCAUCCGCACCA